RNAcentral lists this ribosomal RNA (489 nucleotides) under uncultured bacterium. RNAcentral describes it as "bacterial SSU rRNA". It matches the Rfam family "Bacterial small subunit ribosomal RNA", at positions 30 to 517 of the family's 1533-position model. The record is from RNAcentral.
AUUGAACGCUGGCGGAAUGCUUUACACAUGCAAGUCGAACGGUAGAGGGGGCAACCCCUUGAGAGUGGCGAACGGGUGAGUAAUAUAUCGGAACGUGCCCAGUCGUGGGGAUAACGUAGCGAAAGUUACGCUAAUACCGCAUACGAUCUAAGGAUGAAAGCGGGGGGAUCGCAAGACCUCGCGCGAUUGGAGCGGCCGAUAUCAGAUUAGGUAGUUGGUGAGGUAAAGGCUCACCAAGCCAACGAUCUGUAGCUGGUCUGAGAGGACGACCAGCCACACUGGAACUGAGACACGGUCCAGACUCCUACGGGAGGCAGCAGUGGGGAAUUUUGGACAAUGGACGCAAGUCUGAUCCAGCCAUUCCGCGUGCAGGAUGAAGGCCCUCGGGUUGUAAACUGCUUUUGUACGGAACGAAAGGUUUCUAUUAAUACUAGGAGCUCAUGACGGUACCGUAAGAAUAAGCACCGGCUAACUACGUGCCAGCAGCCG